Molecule: ribosomal RNA, 1043 nt
Filed under: Sphagnum cymbifolioides
Lineage: Eukaryota; Viridiplantae; Streptophyta; Sphagnopsida; Sphagnales; Sphagnaceae
Description: eukaryotic LSU rRNA
Rfam family: Eukaryotic large subunit ribosomal RNA
Source: RNAcentral
GGCGAUAACUAACCAGGAUUCCCCUAGUAACGGCGAGCGAACCGGGAAGAGCCCAGCUUGAAAAUCGGAGGGCUUCGCCCCUCGAAUUGUAGUCUGGAGAAGCGUCCUCUGCAUCGGACCGGGCCCAAGUUCCCUGGAACGGGACGAGAGAAAGGGUGAGAUCCCCGUCGAGCCCGGACCCUGAUGCUCCACGAGGCGCUGUCGGCGAGUCGGGCUGUUUGGGAAUGCAGCCCUAAGCGGGUGGUAAAUUCCAUCCAAGGCUAAAUACCGGCGAGAGACCGAUAGCGAACAAGUACCGCGAGGGAAAGAUGAAAAGGACUUUGAAAAGAGAGUUAAAGAGUGCUUGAAAUUGCUGGGAGGGAAGCGAAUGGAAGCUGCGGGUGCGCCCCGGUUGGAUGCGGAACGGCUCUAGCUGGUCCGCCGCUCAACGCGGGGCGCUGGUCAGCGUGGGCCGUCGCGGCGGGACAAGAGCCGGCUUUCGUUGCCGGCCGAUGCCGUUGUGGCGGCCGAGGAACGAAGCGCGCGCCCUUCUGGGCGGGCCCCUCGGGGCACCUGCGCGCUCGGGACGCUGGCGCAUCGAGCUCUCCAUCCGACCCGUCUUGAAACACGGACCAAGGAGUCUAACAUGUAUGCGAGCCGGUGGGCGGCAAACCCAUUGAGGCGCAAGGAACCUGACAGGUGGGAUCCCCUUUCCGGGGGAGCACCAUCGACCGACCGUGAUCUUCUGUGAAAGGUUUGAGUGCGAGCAUGCCCGUUGGGACCCGAAAGAUGGUGAACUAUGCCUGAGCAGGGCGAAGCCAGAGGAAACUCUGGUGGAGGCUCGUAGCGAUACUGACGUGCAAAUCGUUCGUCAGACUUGGGUAUAGGGGCGAAAGACUAAUCGAACCAUCUAGUAGCUGGUUCCCUCCGAAGUUUCCCUCAGGAUAGCUGGAGCUCGUGCACUAGUUUUAUCAGGUAAAGCGAAUGAUUAGAGGCAUCGGGGGUGUAACACCCUCGACCUAUUCUCAAACUUUAAAUAGGUAAGAUGCCUGGGUUGCUCGGUU